GUGCCAGCCGCCGCGGUAAUACCGGCAGCCCGAGUGAUGGCCGAUCUUAUUGGGCCUAAAGCGUCCGUAGCUGGCUGCGCAAGUCCGUCGGGAAAUCCACCUGCCCAACAGGUGGGCGUCCGGCGGAAACUGUGUGGCUUGGAACCGGAAGGCGCGACGGGUACGUCCGGGGUAGGAGUGAAAUCCCGUAAUCCUGGACGGACCGCCGAUGGCGAAAGUACGUCGCGAAGACGGAUCCGACAGUGAGGGACGAAAGCUAGGGUCUCGAACCGGAUUAGAUACCCGAGUAGUCC
RNAcentral lists this ribosomal RNA (293 nucleotides) under uncultured bacterium. RNAcentral's name for it is "partial 16S ribosomal RNA". It matches the Rfam family "Archaeal small subunit ribosomal RNA", at positions 455 to 747 of the family's 1478-position model. The record is from RNAcentral.